UCUGGGUGUAGGCUUGUCUGGGUGUAGGCUUGUCUGGGUGUAGGCUUGUCUGGGUGUAGGCUUGUCUGGGUGUAGGCUUGUCUGGGUGUAGGUUUGUCUGAGUGUAGGUUUGUCUGAGUGUAGGUUUGUCUGAGUGUAGGUUUGUCUGGGUGUAGGUUUGUCUGGGUGUAGGUUUGUCUGGGUGUAGGUUUGUCUGGGUGUAGGUUUGUCUGGGUGUAGGUUUGUCUGGGUGUAGGUUUGUCUGGGUGUAGGUUUGUCUGAGUGUAGGUUUGUCUGAGUGUAGGUUUGUCUGGGUGUAGGUUUGUCUGGGUGUAGGUUUGUCUGGGUGCAGGUUUGUCUGGGUGCAGGUUUGUCUUACAGGUUUGUCUGGGUGUAGGUUUGUCUUGCAGGUUUGUCUGGGUGUAGGUUUGUCUGGGUGUAGGUUUGUCUGGGUGUAGGUUUGUCUGGGUGUAGGUUUGUCUGGGUGUAGGUUUGUCUGGGUGUAGGUUUGUCUGGGUGUAGGUUUGUCUGGGUGUAGGUUUGUCUGGGUGUAGGUUUGUCUGGGUGUAGGUUUGUCUGGGUGUAGGUUUGUCUGGGUGUAGGUUUGUCUGGGUGUAGGUUUGUCUGGGUGUAGGUUUGUCUGGGUGUAGGUUUGUCUGGGUGUAGGUUUGUCUGAGUGUAGGUUUGUCUGAGUGUAGGUUUGUCAGAGUGUUUGUCUUUCUGGAUCUAGGUUUGUCUGUCUGGAUGCAGGUUUGUCUGAGUGUGUGUGUUUGUCUGAGUGUGUGUGUGUUUGUGUCUGAGUGUGUGUGUGUGUGUGUGUUUGUCUGAGUGUGUGUGUGUGUGUGUUUGUCUGAGUGUUUGA
Molecule: long non-coding RNA, 841 nt
Organism: Oncorhynchus keta (chum salmon)
Lineage: Eukaryota; Metazoa; Chordata; Actinopteri; Salmoniformes; Salmonidae
Exons: 4
Source: RefSeq, a predicted model, not a curated record